AAGUCGAACGAGGAGUUUUGCUUCGGUAAAUCUCCGAGUGGCGAACGGGUGAGUAACGCGUUGGUGACCUGCCCCGAAGUGGGGGAUAACGGCUCGAAAGGGCUGCUAAUACCCCAUGUGGUCGUAGAGGCUAGAUACUUUACGUCUAAAGGAGUAAUUCGCUUCGGGAUGGGCCUGCGUCCCAUCAGCUAGUUGGUAGGGUAAUGGCCUACCAAGGCGACGACGGGUAGGGGGCCUCAGAGGGUGACCCCCCACAUUGGCACUGAAACACGGGCCAAACACCUACGGGUGGCAGCAGUAGGGAAUAUUGCACAAUGAGCGAAAGCUUGAUGCAGCAACGCCGCGUGCGCGAUGACGGCCUUCGGGUUGUAAAGCGCUUUUCGGGGAGAUGAGGAAGGACAGUAUCCCCGGAAUAAGUCUCGGCUAACUACGUGCCAGCAGCCGCGGUAACACGUAGGAGGCAAGCGUUAUCCGAAUUUACUGGGCGUAAAGCGCGUGCAGGCGGUUCGGUAAGUUGGAUGUGAAAUCUCCCGGCUCAACUGGGAGGGGACGUUCAAUACUGUCGGACUUGAGGACGAUAGAGGGAGGUGGAAUUCCCGGUGUAGUGGUGAAAUGCGUAGAUAUUAGGAAGAACACCAGUGGCGAAGGCGACUUUCUGGACAAUAACUGACGCUGAGGCUCGAAAGCGUGGGGAGCAAACAGGAUUAGAUACCCUGGUAGUCCACGCCGUAAACGAUGGGUACUAGGUGUAGGGGGUAUCGACUCCCCCUGUGCCGCCGUAAACACAAUAAGUACCCCGCCUGGG
This 805-nucleotide ribosomal RNA is filed under the name uncultured Chloroflexota bacterium. RNAcentral describes it as "bacterial SSU rRNA". It matches the Rfam family "Bacterial small subunit ribosomal RNA", at positions 59 to 877 of the family's 1533-position model. The record is from RNAcentral. Lineage: Bacteria; Bacillati; Chloroflexota.